UUAUCGGAGAGUUUGAUCCUGGCUCAGAACGAACGCUGGCGGCAGGCUUCAUACAUGCAAGUCGCGCGAUUAAGCUCACCUUCGGGUGAGGUAUAAAGCGGCGAACGGGUGAGUAACAGGUGGAUAAUCUGCCUCCCGGCGGGGGAUAACGGCUGGAAACGGCCGCUAAUACCGCGUACGGUUGCGGGGAUCUCGGUUCCUGCAAAGAAAGGCGCUUUCAAGCGUCGCCGGGAGAUGAGUCCGCCCCCCAUUAGCUUGUUGGCGGGAUAACAGCCCACCAAGGCUUCGAUGGGUAGCCGAGCUGAGAGGUUGAUCGGCCACACUGGGACUGAGACACGGCCCAGACACCUACGGGUGGCAGCAGUAGGGA
This 370-nucleotide ribosomal RNA is filed under the name Candidatus Hydrogenedentota bacterium. RNAcentral's name for it is "bacterial SSU rRNA". It matches the Rfam family "Bacterial small subunit ribosomal RNA", at positions 1 to 360 of the family's 1533-position model. Lineage: Bacteria; Pseudomonadati; Candidatus Hydrogenedentota. The record is from RNAcentral.